GACGAACGCUGGCGGCAUGCCUAACACAUGCAAGUCGGACGGGAAGUGGUGGUUCCAGUGGCGACCGGGUGAGUAACGCGUAAGAACCUGCCCUUGGGGGGGGAUCACCAGCUGGAAAGGGCUGCUAAUACACCGUAGGCCUAGGAGCAAAAGAAGGACUCCGCCCGAGGAGGGGCGCGCGUCUGAUUCGCUAGUGGGUGAGGAAAUAGCUCACCAAGGCGAUGAGCAGGAUCGCGUUGGAGAGGAUGAUCAGCCACACUGUGACUGAGACACGGCCCAGACUCCUACGGGGGACAGCAGUGGGGACUUUUCCGCAAUGGGCGAGAGAGUGACGGAGCUAUGCGGCGUGGAAGUCGAAGUCCUAAGGGACGUGAACUGCUUUUCCCGGAGAAGAAGCAAUGACGGUAUCUGGAGAAUAAGCGUCGGCUAACUCUGUG
RNAcentral lists this ribosomal RNA (437 nucleotides) under uncultured bacterium. Its description in RNAcentral is "partial 16S ribosomal RNA". It matches the Rfam family "Bacterial small subunit ribosomal RNA", at positions 28 to 507 of the family's 1533-position model. The record is from RNAcentral.